Molecule: ribosomal RNA, 361 nt
Filed under: uncultured bacterium
Lineage: Bacteria
Description: bacterial SSU rRNA
Rfam family: Bacterial small subunit ribosomal RNA
Source: RNAcentral
AAUGAACGCUGGCGGCGCGCCUAAUACAUGCAAGUCGAGCGAGAAGACGUAGCAAUACGUUUGUAAAGCGGCGAACGGGUGAGGAAUACAUGGGUAACCUACCCUCGAGUGGGGAAUAACUAGCCGAAAGGUUAGCUAAUACCGCGUACGCUUCUUGGACUUCGGUUCAGGGAGGAAAGCGAUGCCGAGGGUAUCGCGCUCUUGGAUGGGCUCAUGUCCUAUCAGCUUGNGGUGAGGUAACGGCUCACCAAGGCUUCGACGGGUAGCUGGUCUGAGAGGACGAUCAGCCACACUGGCACUGCGACACGGGCCAGACUCCUACGGGAGGCAGCAGUAAGGAAUAUUGCGCAAUGGGCGAAAG